Molecule: ribosomal RNA, 477 nt
Filed under: uncultured bacterium
Lineage: Bacteria
Description: partial 16S ribosomal RNA
Rfam family: Bacterial small subunit ribosomal RNA
Source: RNAcentral
AUGAACGCUGGCGGCGUGCUUAACACAUGCAAGUCGAACGAGAAGUGGAGACGGAAACCUUCGGGCGGAAGACUUUACUUCGAGUGGCGGACGGGUGAGUAACGCGUGGGUAACCUGCCUCAUACAGGGGGAUAACAGUUGGAAACGACUGUUAAUACCGCAUAAGACCACAGCACCGCAUGGUGCGGGGGUAAAAACUCCGGUGGUAUGAGAUGGACCCGCGUUCGAUUAGCCAGUUGGCGGGGUAACGGCCCACCAAAGCGACGAUCGAUAGCCGAUCUGAGAGGAUGACCGGCCACAUUGGGACUGAGACACGGCCCAAACUCCUACGGGAGGCAGCAGUGGGGAAUAUUGCACAAUGGGGGAAACCCUGAUGCAGCGACGCCGCGUGAGUGAAGAAGUAUUUCGGUAUGUAAAGCUCUAUCAGCAGGGAAGAAAAUGACAGUACCUGAGUAAGAAGCCCCGGCUAACUACGUG